RNAcentral lists this long non-coding RNA (365 nucleotides) under Ananas comosus (pineapple). Its description in RNAcentral is "long non-coding RNA (ACOM_LNC011844)". The record is from RNAcentral. Lineage: Eukaryota; Viridiplantae; Streptophyta; Magnoliopsida; Poales; Bromeliaceae.
UAAACUUCAUAUACCACUCCUGUGGUUUCGCACUUUCUCACUUUAGUAUCCUAUGGUUUAAAGUGUAUUAAGUUGGUGUUUUGUAGUUUCAUUUUUAUCUUUUCGUCAGCUUUUCCGUUAAUAUUUCGUUAAAUUAUAUAUAAAAAACUUCAGAUACCCCACUUAGAUUUAUCGAAUAUUCACUUUAGUAACCUUUAGUUUUAACUUCGUAACUGAUUUAACGAAAAAAUUAGUAGAAUCGAUAAUAAAAAGAUAAAAAUGAAACCACAGGGUAUUAAAUUUAUACACUUUAAAUCACAGGGUGCUAAAAUGAGAAAGUGUGAAACUAGGGAGGUAUUUGAAAUUUGUCCUAAAAUAUAUGCUAG